This 1007-nucleotide long non-coding RNA is filed under the name Homo sapiens (human). Its description in RNAcentral is "growth arrest specific 5". The stretch from base 1 to 59 matches the Rfam family "Small nucleolar RNA SNORD74", at positions 22 to 80 of the family's 80-position model. Lineage: Eukaryota; Metazoa; Chordata; Mammalia; Primates; Hominidae. The record is from RNAcentral.
CUGUGUUGGUAGGGACAUCUGAGAGUAAUGAUGAAUGCCAACCGCUCUGAUGGUGGCACAUGCCGAGUCACCCGAGUAAGCUAUUGUUAAGGGCCGUGACCCGAGCCUCCAUCAGCCGUCCGCUCUCAUGAAAGGCUGUCGGUGGUAGUCCACGUGCUUAAGUGCCUGCAUUCCGCAGUGUCACCAAUAUUUCCAUUAGUGUUUCUUUUUUCUUUUUUGAGACCGAGCCUCGUUCUGUCACCCAGGCUGGAAUGCAGUGGCUCGACAUCGGUUAAUGGCAACCUCCGCGUCCCGAGUUAAGCAGUUCUGCCUCAGCCUCCCAAGUAACUGGGACUACAGGCGCGCGCCACCAUGCUAGGCUUUUAUAUUUUUAGUAGAGACGGGGUUUCACCAUGUUGGCGAGACUGGUCUUGAACUCCUGACCUCAGGUGAUCCACCAGCCGUGGUCCCCCAACAUACUGGGAUUACAAGCCGUGAGCCACCGCGCCCGGCCGCCAUCGGUGGUUCUUAACUGCGGGUGCAGUGCUUCUUUGUAACAUUAAGUGUAUCCUUUACCUGUCGCUAGAUAAUGAAUGGUAUGGUGCUGGGUGCAGAUGCAGUGUGGCUCUGGAUAGCACCUUAUGGACAGUUGUGUCCCCAAGGAAGGAUGAGAAUAGCUACUGAAGUCCUAAAGAGCAAGCCUAACUCAAGCCAUUGGCACACAGGCAUUAGACAGAAAGCUGGAAGUUGAAAUGGUGGAGUCCAACUUGCCUGGACCAGCUUAAUGGUUCUGCUCCUGGUAACGUUUUUAUCCAUGGAUGACUUGCUUGGGUAUGGAGAGUCGGCUUGACUACACUGUGUGGAGCAAGUUUUAAAGAAGCAAAGGACUCAGAAUUCAUGAUUGAAGAAAUGCAGGCAGACCUGUUAUCCUAAACUAGGGUUUUUAAUGACCACAACAAGCAAGCAUGCAGCUUACUGCUUGAAAGGGUCUUGCCUCACCCAAGCUAGAGUGCAGUGGCCUUUGAAGC